AUCUGCUGUGGGCAUAUAUAAUGUAUAUGGUUGUCGAUUCCUCCAGCGGUAAGAAUAAGGCCUUCACCUGCUAUUACUUCUGUAGAGGCCCCUACAAUCAUGUCUGGGUGCACAUCUGGCAUAAUAUGAGGAUUGCCUCCUUUACCAAUGGCUUUGAUAUAGCCUCCUUUGAUUCCUAUGUCUGCUUUGUAAAUCCCUGUGUAGUCAAUGACCAAGGCAUUGGUGAUGAUGAGGUCCAGUACCUCUGAGCUACUGUAGCCUGAAGCCUGACCCAUACCAUCGCG
Molecule: small RNA, 284 nt
Filed under: zebrafish metagenome
Description: 5' ureB small RNA
Rfam family: 5' ureB small RNA
Source: RNAcentral